AGGUGUUCUACGGAGACAGUUCUGACAAACAUUUCCCAGAGGUGGUGAGCGGAUCCGUGGGACUUCCGGUGGCUGUGCAGUGCAUUGCUUUGCUAUGGGAAGAUGAGCUGUGUCUCCGGUUCAUGAAGGAGGUAGACACCUUGGUCAAGAACCAGAGGGGGCCCAAGUGACAGGCUCCUGGAAUGGAGUAACAGCUCAAGAAACAUGGGGCUGGUUGUGGUGGCUCAUACCUAUAAUCCCAGCACUUCUGGAGGCAGAGGCUGGCAGAUUGCUUGAGGCCACGAGUUUGAGACCAAACUGGGCAACACAGCGAGACCUUGUUUCUAAAAUAGUUUCUUGGUGUUAUUCUUGUAGACCUUCCUAGAUCCUUACCCAAGUGUGCCCCUGAUGAACCUUCCUUCUCAUGAAUACCAUGUCCACCUAUGUCUCCUCCUUCUGGAACCCCACCAGGUUCCUUUUCUUUGUGGUCCCUCUGUGUGGGUGCUCAGUACUCCUCAGAUGGGCCCAAGAUGGGGAGCAGGGUGAGGAGCUCAAUAAACAUUUUCUGACUGG
Sapajus apella (tufted capuchin) is the source of this 552-nucleotide long non-coding RNA. RefSeq lists it as uncharacterized. The transcript is spliced from 2 exons. NCBI's taxonomy places the organism in Eukaryota, Metazoa, Chordata, Mammalia, Primates, Cebidae. The record is from RefSeq and is a predicted model, not a curated record.